Molecule: ribosomal RNA, 108 nt
Filed under: Kaistella carnis
Lineage: Bacteria; Pseudomonadati; Bacteroidota; Flavobacteriia; Flavobacteriales; Weeksellaceae
Also listed under: 2 other names
Source: RNAcentral
UAGGGUGGUUUUAGCAGAGGGGCUCACCUGUUCCCAUUCCGAACACAGAAGUUAAGCCCUCUAGCGCCGAUGGUACUGCGAAAGCGGGAGAGUAGGUCGCCGCCAGUC